Molecule: ribosomal RNA, 514 nt
Filed under: uncultured bacterium
Lineage: Bacteria
Description: bacterial SSU rRNA
Rfam family: Bacterial small subunit ribosomal RNA
Source: RNAcentral
GAUGAACGCUAGCGGGAGGCCUAAUACAUGCAAGUCGAACGGUAAGGUCCCUUCGGGGAUACACGAGUGGCGGACGGGUGCGUAACGCGUACGAAACAUACCUUCAACAGGGAGAUACCUCCGGGGAAACUGGAAAUAAUACCCCAUAGUAUUGAGAUAUCGCAUGAUAUUUCAAUUAAAGCUUUGGCGGUUGAAGAUUGUCGUGCGUCUGAUUAGCUAGUUGGUGAGGUAACGGCUCACCAAGGCGACGAUCAGUAGCUGGUCUGAGAGGAUGAUCAGCCACACUGGAACUGAGACACGGUCCAGACUCCUACGGGAGGCAGCAGUAGGGAAUAUUGGACAAUGGGCGGAAGCCUGAUCCAGCCAUCCCGCGUGUAGGAAUAAGGCCCUAAUGGGGUUGUAAACGUACUUUUUAUUAGGGUAAGAAAAACUUUAGAUUUAUUACAGAGCUUGACGGUACCUAAGGAAUAAGCACCGGCUAACUCCGUAGCCAGCAGCCGCGGUAAUGUCAGUG